GGGAUAGGUCUAAACGCAGCAUGACGAAUCAGACUGCAACAACUAGGCUACCAAGCUAGCUCUUAAUUAUUGCAAAGUUGUUGUUUUUCGCACAUCAAGGAUCAUCACACAUGUCUUAGGACAAAAUAAAUAUGUGUGCCAAUUAAUUUGACUAGGCAGGGGGUAAAGGAGCAAGGGUUGUCGCUAUGGCCGUCGCCGCUAGCAUGUCUUGCGAAGAAGAUGGCGGGUUGUCGCAGUGACUCUUGCACACAUCCAUAGUUCUGUAGCAGCGGUCAUUUAACAGGCAGCAGUAGCAGUGCGUGUCUGUGCACAGCUUCUCCUUGCCGCACAGCCCGUUCGGCAGAUCGAUCUUCUCGUCAUCCACACCGACCGCGAUGGUUCGGCCUGUGGAGUGACAUGCAUAUGAUGAAACAAUUGUUUCGGAUUUGGUAACAAUCAAGAAACAUAUCUGAGACAAGAAACAAAAUGAGAAGUCAAAAACAAAAAGAGAAAAGUGUAAGAAUUACACGUGCAUGAUAUAAUUAACUUGUUGAACUAGGGUUAAAGGAGCUAGUAUCGCAAAGAUAAACCGGUGAGAGAAAUAAUAUCUCUAUUGCAUACCUAUUCGUAGAUGCAUCGUGUGAUAGUAGCAGAGAAAAACUACAUGUGCGUAUCCUAACAUUUUGGGCUUGAAAGACAAGGUUGCAUCGUAAAGAAAACUCUUGAGAAAUAUAUAAAUAUGUUGCAUACUAUACUUGCAGUGUGCGACGGUGGCAGAGGACAAGAGGUG
This 769-nucleotide long non-coding RNA is filed under the name Triticum aestivum (bread wheat). Its description in RNAcentral is "long non-coding RNA (TAES_LNC021684)". The record is from RNAcentral. Lineage: Eukaryota; Viridiplantae; Streptophyta; Magnoliopsida; Poales; Poaceae.